This 1290-nucleotide ribosomal RNA is filed under the name Nematoda environmental sample. RNAcentral describes it as "SSU rRNA". It matches the Rfam family "Eukaryotic small subunit ribosomal RNA", at positions 39 to 1340 of the family's 1831-position model. Lineage: Eukaryota; Metazoa; Nematoda. The record is from RNAcentral.
AAAGAUUAAGCCAUGCAUGUCUAAGUAUGAACUAUCUAUUGUGAAACCGCGAAUGGCUCAUUACAACAGCCAUAGUUUACUGGAUAUAUUCCAUUACAUGGAUAACUGUGGUAAUUCUACAGCUAAUACACGCAUCAAAAGCCCGACUAUGGGAGGGCUGCGUUAGUUACUUCAAACUGAUCAGUCUUCGGACUGCAUUCAAGUGAGAUUGAACUAUUUAGCUGAUCGCACGGUCUAAGAACCGGCGACAUAUCCUUCAAAUGUCUGCCUUAUCAACUGUCGAUGGUAGAUUAUGCGCCUACCAUGGUUGUAACGGGUAACGGAGAAUCAGGGUUUGAUUCCGGAGAGGGAGCCUGAGAAAUGGCUACCACAUCCAAGGAAGGCAGCAGGCACGCAAAUUACCCAUUCCCGGCACGGGGAGGUAGUGACGAAAAAUAACAAGCUGGUCUCUUUGAGUUCCGGCAUUGUAAUGGGAACAACUUAAAUCAUUUAUCGAGGAUCUAUUGGAGGGCAAGUCUGGUGCCAGCAGCCGCGGUAAUUCCAGCUCCAAUAGCGCAUAUUAAAGUUGUUGCGGUUAAAAAGCUCGUAGUUGGAUCUACGAUCCAGGCCAGUGGUCGCCCUUCUCGGGUGCACUGCUCGGACUGAUCGACAUAUCUGGUGAACGAUUGUUGCUCUUCAUUGAGUGACUCUAGUUGCUGGAACGUUUACCUUGAAAAAAUUGAAGUGCUCAAAGCAGGCAUAUGCCUGAACAUCGCUGCAUGGGAUAAUUGAAUAGGACUUCGGUUCUAUUUUGUUGGUUUCGGAACGCGGAGUAAUGAUUAAUAGGGACAGACGGGGGCAUUCGUAUUGCUGCGUUAGAGGUGAAAUUCUUGGAUCGUAGCAAGACGACCUACUGCGAAAGCAUUUGCCAAGAAUGUUUUCAUUAAUCAAGAACGAAAGUUAGAGGUUCGAAGGCGAUCAGAUACCGCCCUAGUUCUAACCGUAAACGAUGUUAACUAGCGACUCGCAGGUGUUACUUUAACGGCCCUGCGAGGAGCUCCCGGGAAACCUAAGUGUUCGAAUUCCGGGGGAAGUAUGGUUGCAAAGCUGAAACUUAAAGGAAUUGACGGAAGGGCACCACCAGGAGUGGAGCUUGCGGCUUAAUUUGACUCAACGCGGGGAAACUCACUUGGUCAGGACACUGUUAGGAUUGACAGAUUGAAAGCUCUUUCUUGAUUCGGUGGAUGGUGGUGCAUGGCCGUUCUUAGUUGGUGGAGUGAUUUGUCUGGUUAAUUCCGAUAACGAGCGAGA